RNAcentral lists this ribosomal RNA (253 nucleotides) under uncultured bacterium. RNAcentral's name for it is "partial 16S ribosomal RNA". It matches the Rfam family "Bacterial small subunit ribosomal RNA", at positions 524 to 776 of the family's 1533-position model. The record is from RNAcentral.
UACGUAGGUGGCAAGCGUUGUCCGGAUUUACUGGGCGUAAAGAGCGCGCAGGCGGUCGUUCAAGUCGCGUGUGAAAGCCCCCGGCUCAACUGGGGAGGGUCACGCGAUACUGAUCGACUCGAAGGCAGGAGAGGGUAGUGGAAUUCCCGGUGUAGUGGUGAAAUGCGUAGAUAUCAAGCGGAACACCAGUGGCGAAGGCGAGUCCCUGGACAACUCCUGACACUGAGGCACGAAAGCUAGGGGAGCAAACAGG